Molecule: long non-coding RNA, 1396 nt
Filed under: Homo sapiens (human)
Lineage: Eukaryota; Metazoa; Chordata; Mammalia; Primates; Hominidae
Description: novel transcript
Source: RNAcentral
ACACGUGAAAACGCCCCGGACUGCGGCUGCGCCGCUUACCCGCACACAGACGGUUGGCAGAGGAAGAAAGCCUUGUCACACUAAAGGAGAGACAGCGGAUGUUCUGAACAGUCCUGUCGUGAAACGUUAGACAACGUGGACGAAACAGGCACAUUCCUAAGCAUCACACAUUACUGAAACUCAGUCAAGAAGAAAUAGAAAAUCUGAAUACAUCCAUGGCAAGCACAGAAACUGAACUAGGGGAUUCGAAAUCUUCCCACAAAGAAAAGCCUAGGCCCAACUGGCCUCUAUGAUACAGCAAGAAGGUGCCAUCUAUGAAGGAGAAGACAAGCCCUCACCAGACACCAAAUCUGCUGAUGCUUUGAUCUUGGACUUCCCAGCCUCCAGAACUGCUCACACCCCUUUAUUAACUGAAGCUGACUUAACCCGAACUAUCUGAAGCUGACUCAACCCGAACUAUCCGAGAUCACACGUAAAUGUUUUCCUUCUGAUCUCAACUUUUCUCCUUAUCGUGGGGCAUGGAAAGGAGGAGAUCGCAGCAGGGAAGUUUUUGUUCUUGUUCACAUGCUAACAAUGGUGUCUGUGAACUCAAGAGAAGCCUUUCAUUCUAGACAUAGUAGUUAUUUUCUAAAUCAUCUUUAAACUUAUUUGCUGGAAUAUUGUGGGGGUAAAGUGCAAACUUCCCCUUCACCAUCUGAAGGUUUGCUAAAAAUCAACAGGCAGAAGGCGAAUUAACAGGAGAAAUGGCAUGCCAAUUUGUUUGAUCACAGUUUUACAUGAAGAAUGAAGACCCAAAGACACAUGAGAAAUUGUCCAUUUUUAUGCAACACCAGACCAGGCGAUGCUCUAAGACAGGUACAACAAAGUAUGGACAUGCGUGUAGAAAUACGAGUCAACUAAAGGGUGUGAUCUACUGCUAAUAGGCUGAGUGGGGACACCCAGACUCUUCCUGGCCCCUGUGAGCAGCUUCCUUUCCUUCUGGUGUGGGGCAGGAACUUCUCUGGAAUGGGGAUCUUCUGACCCACAGUCAAACAAGAAUUGGACAGAAGUCACAUCAGGGAGACCAGAGACUAGAGUAUUGCAUCAUAGAGGAAAGACACUGAUGACAAGACCUCAGGGGAGCAGUGGAACUGGAGGCCUGGGAGCUUGGGACGUGUUCUCCGGGUGAAGUUGGCUGGCCAGCUGAUGACCUACACCAGUGCCAUUCACUCCUCAUGUGUCCCCCGGGAAUUCAUAGUGUGUGUCAUCAGGUAAAAGCAACACUACUUUCAGAUGUUUUCUGAUCUCUUUGAGAUCUGGACAACACUACUGUGUACAUAUGGCCAGCAACAAAUUACACUCAAUGAAUAUUUUAGAGAGCAGCAAAGUAAUCAAUUAAAAUGUGGGUAAACAAAAA